RNAcentral lists this ribosomal RNA (490 nucleotides) under uncultured bacterium. Its description in RNAcentral is "partial 16S ribosomal RNA". It matches the Rfam family "Bacterial small subunit ribosomal RNA", at positions 28 to 507 of the family's 1533-position model. The record is from RNAcentral.
GAUGAACGCUCGCUACAGGCUUAACACGUGCAAGUCGCGGGGCAGCAUGGGGGUUGCUUGCAAUCCCCGAUGGCGACCGGCGCACGGGUGAGUAACGCGUAUCCAACCUGCCCUUCACCACGGGAUAACCCGGCGAAAGUCGGACUAAUACCGUAUGUUGUCCAUUGACGGCAUCCGAUUUGGACGAAAGGUUUGGCGGGGAAGGAUGGGGAUGCGUCCGAUUAGCUGGACGGCGGGGUGACGGCCCACCGUGGCGACGAUCGGUAGGGGUUCUGAGAGGAAGGUCCCCCACGCUGGAACUGAGACACGGUCCAGACUCCUACGGGAGGCAGCAGUGAGGAAUAUUGGUCAAUGGGCGUAAGCCUGAACCAGCCAAGUAGCGUGCAGGAUGACGGCCCUAUGGGUUGUAAACUGCUUUUAUGCGGGGAUAAAGUGGCCCACGUGUGGGUUUUUGCAGGUACCGCAUGAAUAAGGACCGGCUAAUUCCGUG